RNAcentral lists this ribosomal RNA (253 nucleotides) under uncultured bacterium. RNAcentral describes it as "partial 16S ribosomal RNA". It matches the Rfam family "Bacterial small subunit ribosomal RNA", at positions 524 to 776 of the family's 1533-position model. The record is from RNAcentral.
GACAGAGGGUGCAAACGUUGCUCGGAAUUACUGGGCGUAAAGCGCAUGUAGGCGGCUCUGUAAGUCGGAUGUGAAAGCCCUCGGCUUAACCGAGGAAGUGCAUUCGAUACUGCAGAGCUAGAGUAUCGGAGAGGGUCGUGGAAUUCCUGGUGUAGAGGUGAAAUUCGUAGAUAUUCGCAAGAACACCAGUGGCGAAGGCGGCUCACUGGCCCGAUACUGACGCUGAGGUGCGAAAGCGUGGGGAGCAAACAGG